CACAAGCGGUGGAGCAUGUGGUUUAAUUCGAUGCAACGCGAAGAACCUUUACCUGGUCUUGACAUCCACGGAAGUUUUCAGAGAUGAGAUGUGCCUUCGGGAACCGUGAGACAGGUGCUGCAUGGCUGUCGUCAGCUCGUGUUGUGAAAUGUUGGGUUAAGUCCCGCAACGAGCGCAACCCUUAUCCUUUGUUGCCAGCGGUCCGGCCGGGAACUCAAAGGAGACUGCCAGUGAUAAACUGGAGGAAGGUGGGAUGACGUCAAGUCAUCAUGGCCCUUACGACCAGGGCUACACACGUGCUACAAUGGCGCAUACAAAGAGAAGCGACCUCGCGAGAGCAAGCGGACCUCAUAAAGUGCGUCGUAGUCCGGAUUGGAGUCUGCAACUCGACUCCAUGAAGUCGGAAUCGCUAGUAAUCGUGGAUCAGAAUGCCACGGUGAAUACGUUCCCGGGCCUU
This 457-nucleotide ribosomal RNA is filed under the name uncultured Enterobacteriaceae bacterium. RNAcentral describes it as "bacterial SSU rRNA". It matches the Rfam family "Bacterial small subunit ribosomal RNA", at positions 924 to 1382 of the family's 1533-position model. Lineage: Bacteria; Pseudomonadati; Pseudomonadota; Gammaproteobacteria; Enterobacterales; Enterobacteriaceae. The record is from RNAcentral.